RNAcentral lists this transfer RNA (88 nucleotides) under Pseudomonadota bacterium. RNAcentral describes it as "Proteobacteria bacterium (cold seep metagenome) tRNA-Ser". It matches the Rfam family "tRNA". Rfam says of the family: Transfer RNA (tRNA) molecules are approximately 80 nucleotides in length. Lineage: Bacteria; Pseudomonadati; Pseudomonadota. The record is from RNAcentral.
GGAGAGAUGGCCGAGCGGUUGAAGGCGCACGCCUGGAACGCGUGUAUACGGCAACGUAUCGAGGGUUCGAAUCCCUCUCUCUCCGCCA